This 503-nucleotide ribosomal RNA is filed under the name uncultured Acidobacteriota bacterium. RNAcentral describes it as "bacterial SSU rRNA". It matches the Rfam family "Bacterial small subunit ribosomal RNA", at positions 38 to 573 of the family's 1533-position model. Lineage: Bacteria; Pseudomonadati; Acidobacteriota. The record is from RNAcentral.
GGCGGCGCGCCUAACACAUGCAAGUCGAACGAGAAAGUGGAGCAAUCCAUGAGUACAGUGGCGUACGGGUGAGUAACACGUGGGUGAUCUACCUCUUAGUGGGGAAUAACUUUGGGAAACCGAAGCUAAUACCGCAUAAGCUCGAGAGAGGAAAGUCGAAAGACGCUGAGAGAGGAGCCCGCGGCCGAUUAGCUAGUUGGCAGGGUAAAAGCCUACCAAGGCAUAGAUCGGUAGCCGGCCUGAGAGGGCACACGGCCACACUGGCACUGAAACACGGGCCAGACUCCUACGGGAGGCAGCAGUGGGGAAUCUUGCACAAUGGGGGAAACCCUGAUGCAGCGACGCCGCGUGAGCGAUGAAGCCCUUCGGGGUGUAAAGCCCUUUCGGCAGGGAAGAUAGUGACGGUACCUGCAGAAGCAGCUGCGGCUAACUACGUGCCAGCAGCCGCGGUAAUACGUANGCAGCGAGCGUUGUUCGGAGUUACUGGGCGUAAAGGGUGUGUA